Molecule: long non-coding RNA, 493 nt
Filed under: Homo sapiens (human)
Lineage: Eukaryota; Metazoa; Chordata; Mammalia; Primates; Hominidae
Description: HSALNT0370229
Source: RNAcentral
GUUUAAGGGGCACUGCAAGGCAUACUUGGAACUCUCUGUGUACAUGGGCAGAGUUUGUCAGCAAGUGGGACUCAUGGAAGACAAUCAGGUAUAGGAGGGAGGCAGGAGCAGAUGUGGCUGCAGAAGAGAAGAAAGCAAUGUGACCACAGAAACAGAGAUUGGAGUCAUACAGCUACCAGCCGAGAACACCGGCAGGCAGCUGCCAGAAGAUGGAAGAGGCAAGGAACAGAUUCUCCCCAAGACCAGAAGGAUCCAAUCCUGAUGACACCUUGAUUUUAUUCCUAUAUAACUCAUUUUGAAUUUAUACUUAAUUGUAAUUGUUCUGGUUUCCAGAACUGUAAAAACAAAACAAACAAAAAAACCCAAAAAACAUUUCUAUUGUCUUAAGCCACAAGGUUUGUGCUAAUUUGUUACAAUGGCAAUAGAUAACUAAUACAUGCAUAUUUAAAACUUCUUGGAAUUUUAAGCCUAAUAAAUGUCCAUUAUACAUUAA